AAAACAGUCCGGAUUGUCGCUGCCCGCAAGGGGAGAGGAAAGUCCGGGCAACACAGAGCCACCAUACUUCCUAACGGGAAGGCGUCCGCGAGGGCGACAGACAGUGCCACAGAAAACAAACCGCCGCCGGGCAACCGCCGGUAAGGGUGAAAACGCGAGGUAAGAGCUCACGCUUGGCUUAGCGAUAAGUCCAAGGGUAAACCUUAUGGGUUGAAAGAUCAAAUAUACCGUAUGUCAAGGCGGGCUCGGCCGAUGACGGGGGGUAGAUCGAUGGAGGCGCGGAGCGAUCCGCGUCCUAGAUAAAUGACAAUCGCCGGAUGUCCGUCAUCCGGUACAGAACCCGGCUUACAGGGCUGUUUUUCUU
Molecule: RNase P RNA, 364 nt
Filed under: Bacteroidales bacterium
Lineage: Bacteria; Pseudomonadati; Bacteroidota; Bacteroidia; Bacteroidales
Description: RNase P RNA component class A
Rfam family: Bacterial RNase P class A
About the family: Ribonuclease P (RNase P) is a ubiquitous endoribonuclease, found in archaea, bacteria and eukarya as well as chloroplasts and mitochondria.
Source: RNAcentral